AGAGUUUGAUCCUGGCUCAGGACGAACGCUGGCGGUGUGCUUCACACAUGCAAGUCGAGCGAAUGAAGAAGAUAGCUUGCUACUUUUGGAUUUAGCGGCGGACGGGUGAGUAAUAUAUAGGAAUCUGCCCUAGAGCGGGGAACAACAGACCGAAAGGUUUGCUAAUGCCCCAUAGGUACGCAGUCUUCGGAUUGUUUAUUAAAGGAGUAAUCCACUCUAGGAUGAGCCUGUAUCCGAUUAGCUAGUUGGCGGGGUAAAGGCCCACCAAGGCUACGAUCGGUAGUUGGUCUGAGAGGAUGAUCAGCCACAAUGGGACUGAGACACGGCCCAUACUCCUACGGGAGGCAGCAGUGGGGAAUUUUACACAAUGGGGGAAACCCUGAUGUAGCGACACCGCGUGAACGAAGAAGCCUUUUGGGGUGUAAAGUUCUGUCGGCUGGAACGAAAAAAAUGACGGUACCAGCAAAGGAAGCAUCGGCUAACUACGUGCCAGCAGCCGCGGUAAGACGUAGGAUGCAAGCGUUGUCCGGAUUUAUUGGGCGUAAAGAGUUCGUAGGCGGUUAUUUAAGUCUGGUGUUAAAUACUGUGGCCCAACCACAGAACUGCAUUGGAUACUGGAUGACUUGAGUGCGGUAGAGGCGAGUGGAAUUCCCAGUGUAGCGGUGAAAUGCGUAGA
This 676-nucleotide ribosomal RNA is filed under the name uncultured bacterium. RNAcentral's name for it is "bacterial SSU rRNA". It matches the Rfam family "Bacterial small subunit ribosomal RNA", at positions 8 to 694 of the family's 1533-position model. The record is from RNAcentral.